Molecule: ribosomal RNA, 253 nt
Filed under: uncultured bacterium
Lineage: Bacteria
Description: partial 16S ribosomal RNA
Rfam family: Bacterial small subunit ribosomal RNA
Source: RNAcentral
UACGUAGGGUGCGAGCGUUGCCCGGAUUUAUUGGGCGUAAAGGGCGCGCAGGCGGCUACGCACGUCCGUUGUGAAAUCGCCCGGCUCAACUGUGCGGGGUCAGCGGAUACGGCGUAGCUGGAGCAAGCUAGGGGGCAAUGGAAUUCCCGGUGUAGUGGUGGAAUGCGUAGAUAUCGGGAGGAACACCAGUGGCGAAGGCGGUUGCCUGGAGCUUUGCUGACGCUGAGGCGCGAAAGCGUGGGGAGCGAUCCGG